UAACAUAUCAAUAAGCGGAGGAAAGAAAAUAACAAUGAUUUCCCUAGUAACGGCGAGUGAAGAGGAAAGAGCUCAAAGUUGGAAACUGUUUGGCUUAGCUAAACCGUAUUGUAAACUGUAGAAACAUUUUCCUGGCACGCCGGAUUAAUAAGUCCUUUGGAACAAGGCAUCAUGGAGGGUGAGAAUCCCGUCUUUGAUCCGAGUAGUUGUCUUUUGUGAUAUGUUUUCAAAGAGUCAGGUUGUUUGGGAAUGCAGCCUAAAUUGGGUGGUAAAUCUCACCUAAAGCUAAAUAUUUGCGAGAGACCGAUAGCGAACAAGUACCGUGAGGGAAAGAUGAAAAGAACUUUGAAAAGAGAGUUAAACAGUAUGUGAAAUUGUUAAAAGGGAACCGUUUGGAGCCAGACUGGUUUGACUGUAAUCAACCUAGAAUUCGUUCUGGGUGCACUUGCAGUCUAUACCUGCCAACAACAGUUUGAUUUGGAGGAAAAAAUUAGUAGGAAUGUAGCCUCUCGAGGUGUUAUAGCCUACUAUCAUACUCUGGAUUGGACUGAGGAACGCAGCGAAUGCCAUUAGGCGAGAUUGCUGGGUGCUUUCGCUAAUAAAUGUUAGAAUUUCUGCUUCGGGUGGUGCUAAUGUUUAAAGGAGGAACACAUCUAGUAUAUUUUUUAUUCGCUUAGGUUGUUGGCUUAAUGACUCUAAAUGACCCGUCUUGAAACACGGACCAAGGAGUCCACCAUAAGUGCAAGUAUUUGAGUGACAAACUCAUAUGCGUAAGGAAACUGAUUGAUACGAAAUCUUUUGAUGGCAGUAUCACCCGGCGUUGACGUUUUAUACUGAACUGACCGAGGUAAAGCACUUAUGAUGGGACCCGAAAGAUGGUGAACUAUGCCUGAAUAGGGUGAAGCCAGAGGAAACUCUGGCGGAGGCUCGUAGCGACUCUCACGUGC
This 947-nucleotide ribosomal RNA is filed under the name Mucor circinelloides. RNAcentral's name for it is "partial large subunit ribosomal RNA". It matches the Rfam family "Eukaryotic large subunit ribosomal RNA", at positions 35 to 894 of the family's 3401-position model. Lineage: Eukaryota; Fungi; Mucoromycota; Mucoromycetes; Mucorales; Mucoraceae. The record is from RNAcentral.